This 799-nucleotide ribosomal RNA is filed under the name uncultured Glomeraceae. RNAcentral describes it as "SSU rRNA". It matches the Rfam family "Eukaryotic small subunit ribosomal RNA", at positions 314 to 1114 of the family's 1831-position model. The record is from RNAcentral. Lineage: Eukaryota; Fungi; Glomeromycota; Glomeromycetes; Glomerales; Glomeraceae.
AUCAACUUUCGAUGGUAGGAUAGAGGCCUACCAUGGUGGUAACGGGUAACGGGGUGUUAGGGCACGACACCGGAGAGGGAGCCUGAGAAACGGCUACCACAUCCAAGGAUGGCAGCAGGCGCGCAAAUUACCCAAUCCCGACACGGGGAGGUAGUGACAAUAAAUAACAAUACGGGGUUCUUUAGGAUCUCGUAAUUGGAAUGAGUACAAUUUAAAUCUCUUAACGAGGAACAAUUGGAGGGCAAGUCUGGUGCCAGCAGCCGCGGUAAUUCCAGCUCCAAUAGCGUAUAUUAAAGUUGUUGCAGUUAAAAAGCUCGUAGUUGAAUUUCGGGGUCAGUAGGUUGGUCGUGCCACCGGUACGUACUGGUCUCACUGAUUCCUCCUUCCUGAUGAGCUGUAAUGCCAUUAAUUUGGUGUUGCAGGGAAUCUGGACUGUUACUUUGAAAAAAUUAGAGUGUUUAAAGCAGGCUAACGCUUGAAUACAUUAGCAUGGAAUAAUGAAAUAGGACGUUCGAUCCUAUUUUGUUGGUUUCUAGGAUUGACGUAAUGAUUAGUAGGGAUAGUUGGGGGCAUUAGUAUUCAAUUGUCAGAGGUGAAAUUCUUGGAUUUAUUGAAGACUAACUACUGCGAAAGCAUUUGCCAAGGAUGUUUUCAUUAAUCAAGAACGAAAGUUAGGGGAUCGAAGACGAUCAGAUACCGUCGUAGUCUUAACCAUAAACUAUGCCGACUAGGAAUCAGACGAUGUUAAUUUUUUAACGACUCGUUUGGCACCUUACGGGAAACCAAAGUGUUUGGGUUC